Canis lupus familiaris (dog) is the source of this 3853-nucleotide RNA transcript. It is a transcript of the gene named methyltransferase like 21A, with no coding region annotated. The transcript has 5 exons. The record is from RefSeq and is a predicted model, not a curated record. Lineage: Eukaryota; Metazoa; Chordata; Mammalia; Carnivora; Canidae.
CGGGGCCGGAAGCGUGUCUGCGGCCCGGAGGCGCUCGGGGCGGGCGGAGCGAGGCGCGCGGCGCGGGGCGGCUCCGGAGCGAGCCUCAAGAGCUUUGAGGGUGCAGAGAGCUGAGUGCCUGCGAAAUGGCCCUGGUGCCCUAUGAGGACACCCCGGGAGUGGGGUUGCAGAAAUUCCACAAGCCUCUUGCCACCUUCUCCUUUGCGAACCACACGAUCCAGAUCCGGCAGGACUGGAGGCAGCUGGGAGUCGCAGCAGUGGUUUGGGACGCGGCUGUGGUUCUUUCCACGUACCUGGAGAUGGGAGCUGUGGAGCUCAGGGGCUGCUCUGCGGUGGAGCUGGGUGCCGGCACCGGGCUGGUGGGCAUAGUGGCUGCCCUGCUGGAACAAAUGUGAGAAGCUAACUCAGUUAAUCCCUUUUCUACCCUGAUCAUUCUACAUAACAGCUCCUAACACUGUAAUUUUAUAAACGGUACAGAUAUACAAGGUCCAAUCACAUGAGCAAAGAGUGGGAAAAGAGAUGAGAGUAAUAGUUUUGGAUGCUGGGAAGACGGAUGAAUGGUAAUGGACUUUGAAGAUCUCAAAAGGCCAACUCAUGAUGUAGAGGCAAGGAAAGCCUGAUUUGCACCAUAAAAUCCUUAAGAGGCUCAGUAUCUAAGACACCUUGGAAGGUGGAGUAAAGAGAGAGGCUGAGAAAAUAAGGCUAGUUAAAGGUUCUUUGAGAAGCAACUGGAUCCCCUCCCCACGCUCCUUGAAGAAGAGUAAUUAAUCUACCCCAUGCUGACAGAAAAACGGAGAUUUAAUUUCUGGACAGUGGUCUCCUGACUGCCUAUACCAAACACUGCUGACAGUGGAGUUACUAACCUCCAGUCUUCUCUCUCUUAGCUCCCAGGCCUUUCCCCUAAGCAAGGGAUUAGGAAGGCCUUCCCUCAGGAACCUAACCAAUGACAAGGGGCUAAAUUAAACAGACUUAAAAGAUACUGACAUUGGGAAAGCCAUAAUCACCCUACAGUGAAGCUCGUAAUUCAUAGCUGUUAGGCCCCAAACACAUCCAGAGCUUCCAAUAGUUUUUUGGUUUCCUGCUUUAAACUUGAACAGACAAGAACAAAUUCUAAGACAUUCGAGGAAAGUUUCUAAUAUAAAAGAUGGAGACCAAAACACAUUGAAGGGCAAAAAGCUAUACAAAGGAAAAUCUAUGUGGGGAGAAGAAAACUUAAAACCUAAUUAAUAUUCUCAGAGAUGACAGAAAAUACUGCCUUUGUAAAACAUAACAGGAUGCUAUUAAAACACAAAAGGACCAUUCAGAGAACAAAAGGAACUUUUUGGAACAGGAAGCUGAAGAAAUCUCCCAGAAAGCAGAGCAAAAAGAUGGAAAGCAGUAAAGAUGAGAAAAUUAGAGAAAUAAUCCCAUAGGUAUAUCAUUUAGAUCACAAGGAUCCUAGAGAAAAAGAAAGAGGAAAAAACACCUUCAACCAAAUAAUUUAAAGAAAUUGCCCAGAAUCAAAGACAUGAGUUUGUACCAUAAAAGGGCCCACUAAUUAUAUAUAUAGCACAAUGGAUAAAAACUAUCCGAACCAAGACCCUAAUAAUGAAAUAGUGAAGCACUGUGAACAGAGAGAAAUAAGAUACUAGAGAAAUAAAAUAAAGCUGGGAGGGGCAGAGGGAGAGGGAGGAAGAAUCUGAAGCCGACUCCACAAGUGUGAAGCCCGAUGUGGGGCUUCAUCCCACGAUCAGGAGAUCAUGACCUGAGCUAAAACCAAGAGUGGGAUGCUUAACCAACUAAGCCACCCAAGUGCCCAAGAAAAAAUAUUUUUACCAAGAAUUUUUUUACCCAAACUUGCUUAAGAAACCACUGGAAAACGUUUUACUGUAUCAAGAACACAAAGUCAAUAACAGAAAGACAGUAAAGGGAAAGGAAUUUCCAGGAAUGCAUUAUACAGCAGACUUAGAGGACAAGCAGAGCAGACAGGAUAGUGCCACCCAAGAGAUAGGUAUGAGGGCUGUCAGCACCAAGAUUCCUUCUAGAACUGUACCUUCUUUUUACCAGAGGGUCAAAUGCUUGUGUGAGCCCAGACUCUGAUCUGUCGUGUUUGCCUUGACCAUGUACUGAUGAAGUCCUGGCUCUUUCCCCUUUUCCUGCACCUGCCUUAUCCAAGUAUUUAUUUCAUUCCCAGAUAUAUUCUGCUUUGUCUCUCCCCUGAGGGUUGGAGGUCAGCCCUAGUACUCUUAGUAGAAAACAUAGAGCAGCCCACUCCUUCUGACUAUAUCCCUGCUGGAGAUCAAGUAUUUGGGCCAUACUUUAGUUCAGUGUAGUAACCAUCUGUGUUUAGCCACAGAUUCUCCAAGACCCAUUCUUGCUCAGGGACUCUCUGAGGAGAGCGUUUAAAUUCUUCAGGAAGGCGAAGCUCAACAUUCCAGAACCUCUGCUGGAAUUAUUUUCUCCCGGGAGCCUUUAUCAGAAAAAGGCAAUAUGAUACUCUGAUCUAGCAGGUUUAUGUCUGUUACUUGGUUUUUAUAUUAACUACCUUUCUCACUCAUAUAUACACAAUUAGUGGUUAAUAAAAUAAUUGAGGAAAAAUACAUCAGAACAAAAAAUAAAAAUGAGAGAAUAUAACUCUAGAGAUAGAAAUGUUUAAGACAGACAAACAGAAGGAAUCAUGAAUUAUAUUUAAAAGAUAUAGGAAACAAAAACCCAUUAUCAUUCUUGAAAUUUACUUGUGUGUCAAUCUAUUUGCCUAUCCUACUUUUUGGUUUAAGCACAUAGAAAAGUUAGCCUGUCGGUUAUCUAAAUUCCCAUGCCUCAAAAAAUCUGUGUGAUUAAAAAAAAAACAAAAAAAAAGAAAAAAAAAAGCUGUUACCUUAUCAGGUAUUCUUCCCUUGUUUAAGAGAGAUAAUCUCUUUCCAUUAAUCAAAAUGUCAUUAUUCUGAAUCAGAUCACUACAAAUAGGUAAUUAGUGUUUUAACAAUACAUUUUUCUGUUCUGUUACUGAAUCAUUUCUAAAAUUAUGCUAAUAUACUAAGUAAACAGGAAUGUUGAUAUUCUAAGAAUGUCUGUGCUCAUUCUAUGCAUCUCUCUGCAAUGAAAACUAAAUCUUUUUGUCUAAAACAUAUUCCUCUUGGAAGAGACGUAACUUGGAAUCUCUCCAUGUAUUUUAUACCUGGGCUAAUGUGGCAAUCUGUGGCUGGGCUUGAACUGUCAUUUGCUGGUUUUCAGCUUCUGUUACAGCUGCAUCUCCACUCUGCUGGUUCUCUGCUCCAGAUUCCAUGGUCAUUUAGUUACCUACAAUAAUAUGGAAGAGUGUUACAAGCACUACAGUGCUUUGUGCUUUUGUGACUUUAAACACAAAUUUCAGGUUAUAAAUAGGUAUAUGUGCUCGUUAGGUUAGCAAAUGUACUUCGAAAUCUAGUUAAAAGAAAAAAAACUUGUCUUUUCCCUUGUUAUUCCAACUAUUUCUUCCACAAAUCUCCCCUAUUAACAAGGGGAGGAGGGUGCCAAUAAAAUUCUAAUUUCUUCAAACUGUACUCCUCAGGUAUGGAGAGAAGGUAGAGUAGAAGAGAGCUGAUGCCAGGGUCUAUGAAAUAUUGGCUUCAUGGUACUUCCUAUUAGGGUAUUCCCUCCUUUUACAGGGAAGAAGUAGAAAAUUAUAAGCUACUUCCACAGGAAAUUACUGGGGGUAGGACAAAAUCAGCCCAAGUUGUGGGGUAUCAAGAUAGAAAGGUGGGAUAAACAGCCACAGGGCCCAAUUAGAGGCCCCAAACACUGCAAAUCUUGGGUGUUCUGACUCCUCACCCCAUGUACAGUGUACAACACUACACAUGCACACAAACAUGAAAUAAAAUUUUGAGUAAGUUAA